This 452-nucleotide ribosomal RNA is filed under the name uncultured marine bacterium. RNAcentral describes it as "bacterial SSU rRNA". It matches the Rfam family "Bacterial small subunit ribosomal RNA", at positions 360 to 804 of the family's 1533-position model. The record is from RNAcentral.
AAUUUUGGACAAUGGGCGAAAGCCUGAUCCAGCAAUGCCGCGUGCAGGAUGAAGGCCUUCGGGUUGUAAACUGCUUUUGUACGGAACGAAAAAGCUUCUCCUAAUACGAGAGGCCCAUGACGGUACCGUAAGAAUAAGCACCGGCUAACUACGUGCCAGCAGCCGCGGUAAUACGUAGGGUGCAAGCGUUAAUCGGAAUUACUGGGCGUAAAGCGUGCGCAGACGGUUAUGUAAGACAGAUGUGAAAUCCCCGGGCUCAACCUGGGAACUGCAUUUGUGACUGCAUGGCUAGAGUACGGUAGAGGGGGAUGGAAUUCCGCGUGUAGCAGUGAAAUGCGUAGAUAUGCGGAGGAACACCGAUGGCGAAGGCAAUCCCCUGGACCUGUACUGACGCUCAUGCACGAAAGCGUGGGGAGCAAACAGGAUUAGAUACCCUGGUAGUCCACGCCCUA